RNAcentral lists this non-coding RNA (100 nucleotides) under Clostridium sp. Its description in RNAcentral is "Guanine sequence". It matches the Rfam family "Purine riboswitch aptamer". Rfam says of the family: Riboswitches are metabolite binding domains within certain messenger RNAs that serve as precision sensors for their corresponding targets. Allosteric rearrangement of mRNA structure is mediated by ligand binding, and this results in modulation of gene expression. RNAcentral also lists the same sequence under 1 other name. Lineage: Bacteria; Bacillati; Bacillota; Clostridia; Eubacteriales; Clostridiaceae. The record is from RNAcentral.
AAGCAAUAAAUUUUAAAACUUCGUAUAACUCCAAUAAUAUGGUUUGGAGGUUUCUACCAGGAGCCAAUAAUUCCUGAUUACGAAGAAUACCCAGCGGUAU